Long non-coding RNA from Polypterus senegalus (gray bichir), 222 nucleotides. RefSeq lists it as uncharacterized. The record is from RefSeq and is a predicted model, not a curated record. NCBI's taxonomy places the organism in Eukaryota, Metazoa, Chordata, Cladistia, Polypteriformes, Polypteridae. The transcript has 4 exons.
CAAACAUCAAAUUCCUCUUCCUCUGAGAAUGUCGCCUGUGCCAGCUGGCACGAAGAUGUGACGUUGUAUAAAUACUCCACCAUUGCACUAGCUGGGACUUUGGGCCUCGUGGUGCUGGUUGCUUUGUAUUUGAAAAUCAAAGAUUUCAUCUUCUCCCCUCACCUAACAGACCAGAAGGCACGAGAGAAUGUCCGAUAUGAAGCUUUAGACCAGUCAAGAAGA